Molecule: long non-coding RNA, 658 nt
Organism: Archocentrus centrarchus (flier cichlid)
Lineage: Eukaryota; Metazoa; Chordata; Actinopteri; Cichliformes; Cichlidae
Exons: 3
Source: RefSeq, a predicted model, not a curated record
CCUCCACCUACAGCUGGUUCCUCUCCUGUUCUCUCUGUGUUGUUAUCUGUUGGAUCAUUCUGUGCUGUGGUUCUUCUGGUGUUGCUGGUUCUGCUGGUAAGAAGACACAUGCACAGGAAACCUGACGCAAACAGAGGAGAAGUUGACGAUGACGUCACACAUGACAUCACGUACAUUGAUGUCAUAACCUCAGAUCAUCGAGGACAGCCAAUGAGGAGAAGCAGAGAGCCAGAGGUCAUCUACUCCUCACUGAAGUAGUCCAACAACUGGACUCCAGCUGCUGGCCCCCACUGGUCCACCAAGACCCUCAGUCCGUCAUCUGCAAUAUUCACUUCUUUGUGUGUUUUUAUUGCAUCACAUUCAUAUAGUUUUUCAUAUUUCUUUUUAUCCCUGUGUUGGAUCAACAUACCUCAUCCUCCUGGGUUUGUGUUUCCCUGCCUGUGGCUAGAUCCUCCUGUGGUGUCCUCUGUGGUGCCCUUCUAGGUCUAUGCAGACUAUUGACAUGGAUGGGGAGAAAGCAGGAGUCCAGAUGAAGCUCAGAGUGUUCUGGAACUGUGGAAUGGCUGCUAAGCAAUGUUGAGUGUUUUGGAUUAGCAGAAGAUUUCCUUUCUUGUUCCUGCUCGGACCUGUAGGGCCUGGAUUUAUGAGGCUGUUAUCG